This is a long non-coding RNA of Papaver somniferum (opium poppy), 1370 nucleotides long. RefSeq lists it as uncharacterized. The record is from RefSeq and is a predicted model, not a curated record. The transcript has 4 exons. Lineage: Eukaryota; Viridiplantae; Streptophyta; Magnoliopsida; Ranunculales; Papaveraceae.
AUGAAAUCUUAAGAAAUGAUAAUGGUAAACCGAAGAAUCGAUCUCUUAGUCAACGAUAGUUUUGAUUUGGUGAAUUAGUUAUUCUGGUCAUGUUCAAGUCGAUCCCGAAGGUCGUUCGGCUCUUGUUGGUAAGUUCCGUAACAACUCAAAGGAGGCAUCAUUACUUCAAUCCAAUCCAGAUUUAAGGCAAUUGAGGGAUUGGGUACUGUGGAUUCAUUAAUGACCCUGACUGAGUAAAGAAGAAUGAUAAUCAUGUUACUGACCAGAAAGAGGGAGAAGAACAUCAGUCAUUGGGUUGGAGUAAAGAGUUUAGGGUUGACAAUAAUGAAUUUUUUGCCAUUACGAAGAGGUGUUUUGACAUGCAUUGAUAACUGUCUAAACUUUUAUGACACAAAAUUUCAACCUCGAAAAGGCUUGCGGAUUUGAAGGAACAGACUCAAUGGGUAUUCCGUCACAAUAACACCUUAGUUUUCGUUGGAAGAAUUAGGUGAAGAUGAUGUGAAGUCAAUGUGGUCGGUUAUUGAGGAGACAGAAAGCCUAUCAACCAGCUGUAGGAGGAUGAGACCUGGAUAUACUUACUCAUAAGCUGGUGUACGAAUCUUCCAGUUGUUCAACUUCGAUUCAGUUAGAUCCCAAGUUGCAUCAUUAGCCACUGCUAGCUCAGUUGCGUUUGCUAUGUCGUCCAAAGAUUCGGGUAAACCACCUGGGGAAUAACAAUUGUCUGAAAGCUGUGUGUGAUUGCAUUCUCCCCGUAUGAAUCAAACCCCUUGAAUAGAAGCACUUUGCUAGUGUGGCCUUCGGGAUAUGCUGCAGUACCAUCUCCUCCAUGGUCUAUCAGCAUCCUUUUUUAUUGCAAAACAACUGUCUUCGGCGUGUAAAGGCGAUGAACUUACUUUCAGCUUUCGUGUUGAAAAUAAGUUUCAGAAUAGUUUGUGAAUCAUCCACAUGCAUUGUAUGAUUUCUCAUCCUACUGGUACUUAGUAUAGCCAGUGGAACAGAGUUUGCUUUGAUGGAGCUACAGUCAGUUUGAGUGGUUUAAAUGCCAAAAUUUUGUAACUUGUGUUUGGAGGUGGAUGCAGAAUCAAGGGUGUAUGAUUUGCAGAUUCUGAGUUUUUCAAACUUGGGUCCACAAGGAUCAAUACUGACUUUGGUGUUAUAGCUAUAAGCUAUUCUUGUGAGGUUAUUGGAACUAUUGCUGGAGGUUUAGAAGUGGCUACUGAUUAUAUUGCAGAAGUGAUGGCUUUACUGGUGGCAGUGGAACGGGCUGUUUAGGCCUGAGUUUCAUUACUGUAACAAUCCGACUCAAAGUCCGAGUGCUGUAGAUAGAGAAAUGAUCCCUUGAGAGUGGAAAUGCCUGAUACAGUUUUCUA